GACGAACGCUGGCGGCGUGCUUAACACAUGCAAGUCGAACGGAAAGGCCUCUUUCGGGUGGUACUCGAGUGGCGAACGGGUGAGUAACACGUGAGUAACCUGCCCUUGACUUUGGGAUAACUUCAGGAAACUGGGGCUAAUACCGGAUAGUAGCUCCUGCUGCAUGGUGGGGGUUGGACAGUUUCGGCGGUUGGGGAUGGACUCGCGGCUUAUCAGCUUGUUGGUGGGGUAGUGGCUUACCAAGGCUUUGACGGGUAGCCGGCCUGAGGGGGUGACCGGCAACACUGGCACCAGGUGACGGCCCAGACCCCUACGGGAGGCAGCAGUGGGAAAUCCUGCACAAUGGGUGGAGGUCCGGUGCAGCAACGCCGUGUCCGUGACGACGGGCUUCGGGUUGGGAGAAGAGUUCGCUCCUGGCGACGCUUUGUGUGACGGUAGUGGGUAGAGAAGCACCGGCUAACUCCGUG
RNAcentral lists this ribosomal RNA (467 nucleotides) under uncultured bacterium. Its description in RNAcentral is "partial 16S ribosomal RNA". It matches the Rfam family "Bacterial small subunit ribosomal RNA", at positions 28 to 507 of the family's 1533-position model. The record is from RNAcentral.